RNAcentral lists this small nucleolar RNA (93 nucleotides) under Triticum aestivum (bread wheat). RNAcentral's name for it is "Small nucleolar RNA R38". It matches the Rfam family "Small nucleolar RNA R38". Rfam says of the family: snoR38 is a C/D box small nucleolar RNA conserved across yeast, human, Arabidopsis and rice. It is encoded in the intron of elongation factor-1 gamma in both pombe and cerevisiae. snoR38 guides the methylation of 2'-O-ribose sites in 28S rRNA. Lineage: Eukaryota; Viridiplantae; Streptophyta; Magnoliopsida; Poales; Poaceae. The record is from Rfam by way of RNAcentral.
GGAUGUGGAUGAUGAGAUCACAAGUGAAAAUACAGUUAUCCCUGUCUUACUUUCUCUGAAGGGUGCUGAGAAUACUGAGAAUCUGACACGAUU